This is a long non-coding RNA of Homo sapiens (human), 3166 nucleotides long. Ensembl annotates it as small nucleolar RNA host gene 14. Its record names the gene SNHG14. The record is from Ensembl. Lineage: Eukaryota; Metazoa; Chordata; Mammalia; Primates; Hominidae.
CCUUGGUGGGCCGUGAACUGAAUGGUGGCGCUGGCCUGUGCCCAGUAUAUCUGGGUUCGGUGGCUGAGAGAGCUUUUGUUGCCCUGUGUCCGUGACGGGCCAGUGUUCUGCAUGCAUCCCAUCACAUGGAUCCAUGGAGGAUGUUGAGCCCAGAGGAAGACUUGCACUGGGCCCAAUGGCCCCAGGUCAGCGUCCAUCAGCCAGGUGUCCAGCCCCUGGUGCACUGAAGAUCGGGCCCUUCCUGGUGCCCUGGUCUCCUGCAUUGAGCUGUGUGAGCUCUUCCACAUGGAAGACCCCUGUCAUUGACUGGCAUAGGGUUCAGUGGCGGAGAGAGCAUCAGGUGGCCCACGUCUGUGAUGGGCCAGUAUUCCACAUGGAUCUCAUCACAUGGGUCCAUGGAAGGCGAGCAUCCCUGAGCUGGCACACCCCACCUUCUGCCAGCAUGGAAGGAUGGUGAGCACAGAGGAAGAAUUGCGUUAGGCCCUUUGGCCCCGGACCAGUGUCUGCCAGCCACGUGCUCAGCCUCCCGUGCGCUAAAGCUCAGGUCCUUCCUGUCAUCCUGGUAUCCUGCACUGAGGUGUGUGAGCUCUUCCCCCCAGCAGGCCCCCUGGGAUUGACUGGCAAAGGUGAAUGGUGUCUGUGGAGGAAGACUUGCCAUUGGGUUGCUGGCCCCAGGCCAGUGGUUGUCAUCCAGGUGCCCAGCCUUGGUGCACUGAAGCUCAGGCCCUUCCUGGUGCUCUGGUCUCCUGCACUGAGCUGUGUGACCUCUUUUGCCCGGCAGACCCCCUGGCAUUGACCAGCAUAGAUAGUGAGACUGGAAGAAAACUUUCAUUGGGCCCGCUGUCCCGGGGUGAGUGGUCAUCAGUCAGGUGCCCAGCCCUUGGUGUGGUGAAGCUCAGGCUCUUCCUGGCGCCCUGGUCUCCUGCACGGAGCUGCGUGAGCUCUUCUACCCAGGCGGGCCCCUGCCCUUGAGCGGCAUAGAUGGUGACCCCAGAGGAAGACUUGCGUUGGGCCCACUGGCUCUGGGCUCAGCCCCUGGUGAGCUGAAGCUCAGGCCCUUCCUGGCACCCUGGUCUGCUGCACUGAGCUGCGUGAGCUCUUCCACCCAGGUGCAACCCCCUGGCAUUGACCAGCAUAGGUAUUGAGCCUGGAGGAAGACUUGAAUUGGUCCCAAUGGUCCCAGGCCAGCAUCCAUCAGCUAGGUGCUGAGCCCCUGGUGCACUGAAGAUUGGGCACUUCCUGGCACCCUGGUGUGCUGCACCGAGCUGUGAUGAGCACAUCCGGGUCCUGCUGGAUGCAUGCGCCGGGAAGGACGUGCCCUGAGUUGGGUCGAUGAUGAGAACCUUAUAUUAUCCUGAAGAGAGGUGAUGACUUAAAAAUCAUGCUCAAUAGGAUUACGCUGAGGCCCAGUCUAGUGAGCUCUUCCCCACAGGUGGGCCCCCUGGCAUUGACUAGCAUCGUGAGCUCUUCUGCCCAGCAGCCUCCCUGGCAGUGACCAGCAUAGAUGCUGACCCUGGAGGAAGAAUUGCACUGGGCCCACUGGCCCCGGGAAAAUGUCCCUCAGCCAGGUGCUUAGCCCCUGGUAAUCUGAAGCUCAGGCCCUUCCUGAUGCCCUGGUCUCCUGCACUGAGCUGUGUGAGCUCUUCAGCCCAGGUGGGCUCCCUGACACUGAUGCGCAUAGAUGGUGAGCCUGGAGGAAGACUUGCAUUGGGCCCAAUGGACCCAGGCCAGUGGCCAUCAGCCAGGUGCCCACCCUGGUGUGCUGAAGCGCGGGACCUACCUGUUGUCCUGGUUUCCUACACUGAGCUGAGUGAGCUCUUCAACCCAGGCGGGGCACCCUGGCAUUCACCAGCAUAGACUGUGAAAUGGGAGGAAGAAUUGUGUUGGGCCCAAUGGCCCUGGGCCAGUAUCCGUCAGCCUGGUGUCCAGCCCCUGGUGUGCUGAAGCUCAUGCCCUUCCUGGUGCCCUAGUUUCCUGCACUGAGCUUGUGAGCUCUUUUGCCCAGAAGACUCCCUGGCAUUGAUCGGCAUAGAUGGCAGCGCUGGAGGAGGACUUGUACUGGGGCCGCUGGCCCCACAUCAGUGUCCGUCAUCCCGGCGUCCAGCCCCUGGUGUGCUGAAGCUCAGGCCCUUCCUUGUGCCCUAGUCUCCUGCACUGAGCUUGUGAGCUCUUCUGCUCAGGCGGGUCCCCUGGCAUUGACCAGCAUAGAUGGUGGCCCUGGAGGAGGACUUGUAUUGGGGCCACUGGCCCCACGUCAGUGUUCGUCAGCCUGGCAUCCAGCCCCUGGUGUGCUGAAGCUCAGGCCCUUCCUGUUGCCCUAGUCUCCUGCACUGAGCUUGUGAGCUCUUCUGCCCAGGUGGUCCCCCUGGUCUUGAUGGGCAUAGAUGGUGAGCCUGAAGGAAGACUUGCAUCAGGACCAAUGGACCCUGGCAAGUGUCCGUCAGCCAGGUGCUCAGCCCCUGGUGCACUGAAGCUCAGGCCCUUCCUGGCCCCUUGAUCUCCUGCACUGAGCUGUGUGAGCUCUUCUGCCAAGGGGGGGCCUCCUGGCAUUGACCAACAUAGAUGGUGAGCCUGGAGGAAGAUUUGCAUUGGGCCCAAUGGCCCUGGGCCAGUGUCUGUCAGCCAGUUUCCCAGCCCCUGGUGCACUGAAGCUCAGGCCUUUCCUGGCAUCCUGGCCUCCUGCACUGAGCUGUGUGAGUGCUUCUGCCCAGGCAGGCCACUUGGCAUUGACCGGUAUAGAUGGUGAGCCUGGAGGAAGAUGUGUGGGACCCGCAGGCCGAGGGCCAGUGUCUCUCAGCCAGGUGCUCAGCCCCCAGUGGGCUGAAACUCUGACCCUUCCUGGCACCCUGCUCUCCUGCACUGUGCUGUGAUGGUGAGACUUCUGUUGGGCUUGCUUUUCCUGGGCCAGUGUCCAUCAGCCAGGUGCUCAGCCAUCGGUGCGCUGAAGCUCCAGCCCUUCCUGGUGCCCUGAUCUCCUGCACUGAGCUGUGAUGAUGAGCUCUUUCACCUAGGAGGGCCCCUUGGCAUUGACUGGCAUAGAUGGUGACCCUGAAGAAAGACUUCAGUUGGGCCUGAAGGCCCCGGGCCAGUGUCCAUCAUCCAGGUGCUCAGCUCCCAGUGCACUGAAGCUCAGACCCUUCCUGGUUCCCUGGUCUCUUGCACUGAG